UACGGAAGGCAGCAGUGGGGAAUAUUGCACAAUGGGCGAAAGCCUGAUGCAGCUAUGCCGCGUGUAUGAAGAAGGCCUUAGGGUUGUAAAGUACUUUCAUCGGGGAGGAAAAACAAAACUAAUAAUUUUAUUUCUUGACGUUACCCGAAAAAGAAGCACCGGCUAACUCCGUGCCAGCAGCCGCGGUAAUACGGAGGGUGCUAGCGUUAAUCAGAAUUACUGGGCGUAAAGAGCACGUAGGUGGUUUUUUUAAAGUCAGAUGUGAAAUCCCUGGGCUUAACCUGGAACUGCAUUUUGAAACUGAAAUACUAGAGUAUCGUAGAGGGAGGUAGAAUUCUAGGUGUAGCGGUGAAAUGCGUAGAUAUCUGGAGGAAUACCUGUGGCGAAAGCGGCCUCCUAAACGAAUACUGACACUGAGGUGCGAAAGCGUGGGGAGCAAACAGGGAUUAGAUACCCGU
Molecule: ribosomal RNA, 458 nt
Filed under: uncultured bacterium
Lineage: Bacteria
Description: bacterial SSU rRNA
Rfam family: Bacterial small subunit ribosomal RNA
Source: RNAcentral